GACGUAGGGCGCAAGCGUUGUCCGGAUUUACUGGGCGUAAAGAGCGCGCAGGCGGCUGGUCAAGUCCGAUGUGAAAGCUCCCGGCUUAACUGGGAAAUUGCAUCGGAAACUGAUCGGCUGGAAGGUGGGAGAGGGUAGCGGAAUUCCCGGUGUAGUGGUGAAAUGCGUAGAUAUCGGGAGGAACACCAGUGGCGAAAGCGGCUACCUGGCCCAUUCUUGACGCUGAGGCGCGAAAGCUAGGGGAGCAAACGGG
Molecule: ribosomal RNA, 253 nt
Filed under: uncultured bacterium
Lineage: Bacteria
Description: partial 16S ribosomal RNA
Rfam family: Bacterial small subunit ribosomal RNA
Source: RNAcentral